CAGACGUUGAUGGUCAACGGUAAUAUACAAGAACUUGAGGAUAAAAAUCACGAGGAACGCGAUUUGUUUCAAAAGUACAUCAGCAACAUGGCAUCGUAAGAAGAUGGUGGACGAGCUUACAGGAAUGGCUUACCAUCCAGACACACAUGAAAACCAAGAAUUGCUGUUUUCAAAACUAUUAUUAAUGUUCGCCUGAUAAGAUGAAGACAAGAAAGAGCGACACGCGGCUUUCGCUGAAAAACGUGGAAAGUAUAUUUGGAAUGCAAGGUCAAAAUUCGUUCGUUGAAUUUUGGUGAAGAAGCCAUUAUCAAUGAAAUUGAAAGCGAUGUGCUUCAGGAAUACGUCUAAAAAGAUAUUGUGAUAAAAGUCAUCUCAUAAAAAUCUAUUGUAUUUAAUUAUUGUUGGUGGAAGAUUUUCUUCGACAUUUCCACCGGCUGCUGGUUCAGUUCAUUAAAAGUUCCGUUUAUUCAAAACCAUUUGAAAUAUGCAACAAAGGACAAAUACUCUGCAGCAAGGGAACGCAUCUCGCAAGAAGCCGCAAGUCUCUCAUCAAUUUUCAUUCAAUUGCUUCAAGUUUUGUCAACGCCACAAACGAAGAUAAUGUUUACGAAGCUGAAAGCCACAUGUUGUAUGUACUUUGCUCAUUAUUACUUAUUUACUAGGAGUUACUAUCGCAAGGGAAGUGCUGCCCCUCCACCAAGUAAGGUAAAACAGUUUGGAAACUGCUAUUGCGUGUUUUCCAUCAUUUAUCAUCUGCCAUAAACAAUACAAUAAUGAAUGGUAAAAAUAAAAAUACAGCAAGAAACCGCAACAACUCGUAUACUUUGUCAUUGCAUAAAGACAAGCUAAUUGUGUCAUCUUUUAUUUUCAAAUUGUCAUAUAAAUCAAUUUAUAGAAGUAGAUGCAAGAAGUAACACUGUAUGUAUGUAUAAUUAUGCUAAUUUCAAAAUGGGAUAAUUGGAUGAACAGUUUUCAAAGCUCAUUUUACAAAAAUUUGCAUAUUGUCAUUUAGAACUCGGCCAAUAACAAUUAAAUCAUGUUAACCGGAGCUUAAAUUUGAUUUUGUAAAAUAUGAUUCUGUAAAAAAGCCACAUGGUUGAUGUAAACAUUGUGGACAUUUGAACAGAUUUUAACCUUGAAAAGUUUUUUAACUUUGAAAAGACAUAUGGUUCCUAUUGAAAAUGUUUCAUAUUUGUCAAAAGCUUAAAGUUUUGUUUGCUUAAAUAUUUUAAGACAAUUCACAAUUCUGAUUUUGUUCUUUAGGUUGAAAUAAAAACACGGCAUGAUUUCUUGUUU
Molecule: RNA transcript, 1296 nt
Organism: Xenia sp. Carnegie-2017
Lineage: Eukaryota; Metazoa; Cnidaria; Anthozoa; Malacalcyonacea; Xeniidae
Gene name: enoyl-CoA delta isomerase 2-like
Exons: 5
Source: RefSeq, a predicted model, not a curated record